GAAAUGCGAUAAGUAAUGCGAAUUGCAGAAUUUCCGUGAGUCAUCGAAUCUUUGAACGCACAUUGCGCCCACUGGUAUUCCGGUGGGCAUGCCUGUUCGAGCGUCAUUAUCCUCCCUCAAACCCCGGGUUUGGUGUUGGACCCAAGUUGUGUGAACAACUGGUCUCAAAGACAAUGACGGCGUCCGUGGGACCCUCGGUGCAACGAGCUUUUAGGAGCACGCAUCGAGUUGCAAGGACCUUCCGGGCCGGUCUCCUUUACCAUUUUACAAGGUUGACCUCGGAUCAGGUAGGAAUACCCGCUGAACUUAA
RNAcentral lists this unclassified non-coding RNA (310 nucleotides) under uncultured fungus. Its description in RNAcentral is "sequence contains ITS1". The stretch from base 1 to 106 matches the Rfam family "5.8S ribosomal RNA", at positions 50 to 154 of the family's 154-position model. The record is from RNAcentral. Lineage: Eukaryota; Fungi. RNAcentral also lists the same sequence under 1 other name.